This 496-nucleotide ribosomal RNA is filed under the name uncultured bacterium. RNAcentral describes it as "partial 16S ribosomal RNA". It matches the Rfam family "Bacterial small subunit ribosomal RNA", at positions 28 to 507 of the family's 1533-position model. The record is from RNAcentral.
GAUGAACGCUGGCGGCGUGCCUAAUACAUGCAAGUAGAACGCUGAAGGAGGAGCUUGCUCUGUCCGGAUGAGUUGCGAACGGGUGAGUAACGCGUAGGUAACCUGCCUGGUAGCGGGGGAUAACUAUUGGAAACGAUAGCUAAUACCGCAUAACAGUAGAUAUUGCAUGAUAUUUGCUGGAAAGGGGCAAUUGCUCCACUACCAGAUGGACCUGCGUUGUAUUAGCUAGUUGGUGAGGUAACGGCUCACCAAGGCGACGAUACAUAGCCGACCUGAGAGGGUGGUCGGCCGCACUGGGACUGAGACACGGCCCAGACUCCUUCGGGAGGCAGCAGUAGGGCAUCUUCGGCAAUGGGCGGAAGUCUGACCGAGCAACGCCGCGUGAGUGAAGAAGGUUUUCGGAUCGUAAAGCUCUGUUGUAAGGGAAGAACGAGUGUGAGAGUGGAAAGUUCACACUGUGACGGUAUCUUACCAGAAAGGGACGGCUAACUACGUG